CUGAUACAGCUCAUGGACUAAUCAGCUUCAAAGAAAGAACCCCAACUCCUUAUUUAUGUUCUUCCCCAUCCUACCUCCUUCCACCCAGCAGCCACCAUACGUUUCAUCAUUUCCAUCAAGAAGAAAACUUCUCAAAAUUCAAACACUUUGAUCCUCAAGAAAACGUACUUCUCAAUACUCUGAAGAGUUGUGAGGUUUUUGUGUUCAGAACAUUUUGAGUCUCAUGGCAAACUUGGUUCACAAAUCCGGUAAGGCAGCAUCGCCUGAGAAAUCAAACUUUGCUCAGACAUGCAAUCUUUUGAGCCAGUAUUUGAAGGAAAGAG
RNAcentral lists this unclassified non-coding RNA (323 nucleotides) under Hevea brasiliensis (rubber tree). The record is from RNAcentral. Lineage: Eukaryota; Viridiplantae; Streptophyta; Magnoliopsida; Malpighiales; Euphorbiaceae.